GAAGACAUCUGUGUGGGCCACGUCAUAAGACCAUCCAGGGGUCAAUGCUGAACAUCUCUGGACAUACAUACAUAUGCAUAACAAAAUAACAUGCAUGAUACAAUAGAUGGAAAUAUGAUACAGGGAAUGGAAAACUGUACAUACAUUCCUAAGUAUAUCAUCAUUUAAUACAUCUCUGUAAAGCUAAAAUACAGGAAAAUG
RNAcentral lists this long non-coding RNA (201 nucleotides) under Panax ginseng (ginseng). RNAcentral describes it as "long non-coding RNA (PGIN_LNC002325)". The record is from RNAcentral. Lineage: Eukaryota; Viridiplantae; Streptophyta; Magnoliopsida; Apiales; Araliaceae.